GGAUGAAGAACGCAGCGAAAUGCGAUAAGUAAUGUGAAUUGCAGAAUUCAGUGAAUCAUCGAAUCUUUGAACGCAUCUUGCGCUCCUUGGUAUUCUGAGGAGCAUGCCUGUUUGAGUGUCAUUAAAUUCUCAACUACACUGACUUUGAAUUGGUGUGGCUUGGAUUUGGGGGGAAAAUUGUUGUGGGCUUUUUGUAUAGUCUGCUCCCCUGAAAUUGAUUAGCGGUACCUUUGUGGAACUGUCUACAGGUGUGAUAAUUAUCUACAUCUUAGACAUCUGCUGGAAUGCUGCUUUCUAAACCUUACUUGUAUUGACAAUCUUGACCUCAAAUCAGGUAGGACUACCCGCUGAACUUAAGCAUAUCAAUAAGCGGAGGA
Molecule: unclassified non-coding RNA, 377 nt
Filed under: soil metagenome
Description: partial contains 5.8S ribosomal RNA, internal transcribed spacer 2, and large subunit ribosomal RNA
Rfam family: 5.8S ribosomal RNA (bases 2-121)
Source: RNAcentral